AUUGCAACUACAAAAAGGUUUGAUAAUGUCCAACCGGCAGGCAAGCCCGCCGAGGAAACAUACGGUACGCAAAAGACAAGGUGCAGCAAGGACCGAAGUCCGCUGUUUUGAUAAUGAUCUUUCUUCCGGUAGGGUGACCUGCGGAAGGAUCAUUA
This 155-nucleotide ribosomal RNA is filed under the name Pyrenochaetopsis sp. MUT 4941. Its description in RNAcentral is "partial 18S ribosomal RNA". Lineage: Eukaryota; Fungi; Ascomycota; Dothideomycetes; Pleosporales; Pyrenochaetopsidaceae. The record is from RNAcentral.